Molecule: ribosomal RNA, 206 nt
Filed under: uncultured bacterium
Lineage: Bacteria
Description: partial 16S ribosomal RNA
Rfam family: Bacterial small subunit ribosomal RNA
Source: RNAcentral
GGAUCGCAGGCUGCAACCCGCCUGCGUGAAGUCGGAAUCGCUAGUAAUCGCGGAUCAGCAUGCCGCGGUGAAUACGUUCCCGGGCCUUGUACACACCGCCCGUCACACCAUGAGAGUCGGGAACACCCGAAGUCCGUAGCCUAACCGCAAGGAGGGCGCGGCCGAAGGUGGGUUCGAUAAUUGGGGUGAAGUCGUAACAAGGUACC